GGAGAAGCAAGGUGCCCGGUGGCGCCGCUGGUCUUCAAAACCGGUUUGAGGCGAGAUGUUCGUCUCUGGAGGGUUCGACUCCUUCCUUCUCCGCCA
This 96-nucleotide transfer RNA is filed under the name Alphaproteobacteria bacterium. RNAcentral describes it as "tRNA-Sec". It matches the Rfam family "Selenocysteine transfer RNA". Lineage: Bacteria; Pseudomonadati; Pseudomonadota; Alphaproteobacteria. The record is from RNAcentral.